Molecule: ribosomal RNA, 484 nt
Filed under: uncultured bacterium
Lineage: Bacteria
Description: partial 16S ribosomal RNA
Rfam family: Bacterial small subunit ribosomal RNA
Source: RNAcentral
AGUGAACGCUGGCGGCGUGCUUAACACAUGCAAGUCGAACGAGAACGGAUUAUAGCUUGCUAUAAUUGUCAGCUAAGUGGCGCACGGGUGAGUAAUGUAUAGGUAAUAUGCCUCUUACUAAGGGAUAACAAAUGGAAACGUUUGCUAAUACCUUAUACUCCUUAUUAACAUAAGUUAAUAAGGGAAAGAUUUAUUGGUAAGAGAUUAGCCUGUAUUGUAUCAGUUAGUUGGUGGGGUAAUGGCUUACCAAGACUAUGACACAUAACUGGUUUGAGAGGAUGAUCAGUCACACUGGAACUGAGACACGGUCCAGACUCCUACGGGAGGCAGCAGUGGGGAUUAUUGCACAAUGGACGAAAGUUUGAUGCAGCAACGCCGCGUGGAGGAUGACACAUUUCGGUGCGUAAACUCCUUUUAUAUGAGAAGAUAAUGACGGUAUUAUAUGAAUAAGCACCGGCUAACUCCGUGCCAGCCGCCGCCGUAA